RNAcentral lists this long non-coding RNA (369 nucleotides) under Mytilus galloprovincialis (Mediterranean mussel). The record is from RNAcentral. Lineage: Eukaryota; Metazoa; Mollusca; Bivalvia; Mytilida; Mytilidae.
GGGGCAAGUAUGGACACAACAUUUAAGCUGGAUUCAGCUCUAAAUUUGGAUUGUGAUUAAAUAGUUUACACAGCAUAGGUUUCUGACACAGAAUGAAUGUGGUCUAAUGAACUUAAAAUAUUUUUUUUGCCUUUGAGCAAGUCACUAUGCUGUUAAAUAUUAAUCCUCUCAAAAAAAUGUUUGAAGAAAUUUUCUUUUUAUUUAUGAAAUCUGAAAUGAGAAAAAUUUAACCCCCCUUCCCCCAUUUUUUUUUCACAUCCCCCUUUCCCUUUUUCCAAAACUGAUCUCAAUUCAAAUUCCUAAUGGAGUUUGCAACAAUAACUACUCAUUUAAAUACAUCAUAAAAUAUUAAAAUGUAAAAUAAAGUGC